UACGGAGGGUGCAAACGUUGCUCGGAAUUACUGGGCGUAAAGCGCGUGUAGGCGGCCGAGUCAGUCGAGUGUGAAAGCCCUGGGCUUAACCCAGGAAGUGCACUUGAUACUGCUUGGCUCGAGUACGGGAGAGGGUAGUGGAAUUCCCGGUGUAGAGGUGAAAUUCGUAGAUAUCGGGAGGAACACCAGUGGCGAAGGCGGCUACCUGGACCGAUACUGACGCUGAGACGCGAAAGCGUGGGGAGCAAAC
Molecule: ribosomal RNA, 250 nt
Filed under: uncultured bacterium
Lineage: Bacteria
Description: partial 16S ribosomal RNA
Rfam family: Bacterial small subunit ribosomal RNA
Source: RNAcentral